GGCCACAUGAUUGAAUUAUAAUCGACAAAAGCAGAGUUCAGCAUUUACAAGUCAACCUGUAAUCAACGCAUGCAGCCCACCAACUCAGGUAACGACAUCAGUUUCUCAGGUUCUCUGUAUGUAUCCCAGUACAUCAAGUAUAAGGAGAACAGCAAGCUCUAUGAAUACGAGUCCAUUUGACCUCGCAAAACACCCCCCACCCCCCUAAAGCAUUGCACGCGCCCUACCACCACGACGGCAUUCGCCACUGGAUUCCGCAGUCUAAAAUGGGCACCAGCGGUUGGACCAGACCGACAACACAUCAAGAUCCACCCUUCCUAGUUCCUCCUUCGCUUGUCCCUGGGAGAAACCAUGGCGGUCGACUCUGUCACAUCCUGCAGAUCAAGCAUCGAGUGUGAUCUCAUAUGAGCUGAUAACACCUGCGGUGGACGAGGUGCAGGUGGAGAAGCAAAGACACCCAUGGCGGCAUUGCUGGGCCUUCGGAGUGGCUGACGGGUAUGCAGCUUCGGAGAGCGGUAGUGUUCAUCAUCACUGCCGCUGUUGCUCCCCGAACUGCUUGUUGCAGCUGGUGACAAUGUCAUUCUCCUGCAAUUUGUAGGGCUGAUGAUCACAUCAUCUUCAGGGAAUACCUCUUUGUUCUGUGGCUUGCCCCACUUGAAACUGAACGGAAGAAGACCUUUCCGCUUCCUAGGGGAUGGGUUUUCUGGCUUUGGAAGACUUUUCUCAGGUGGAGAUGGGAUCACGGAAUCUUGAAGCUUUGCAAAAGAUCCAGACUUGCCAUUGUAGAACUUGCAUACCCCUUUCCUGAAGGGGAGGGCCUCCUGGAGCGCGUCCAUGGUGUCGAAGGGCCCCUUGUACGAGCUCUGCACCUCGCCGUCGCCGCCCUCCACCUCCUCGCCGUCCCACUCCCACUUGGCCGCCGCCGCGGGGCUGUCGCUGUCCCUCCCCACCGACGACGAGCUGCGCGCCCCCACCGACGCCGGCGGCGGCGAGGCGGCGUAGGCGCAGCGGGCGACGCGGCCGAACCGGGGCCCGCCGCCGCCCCCUCCUCCUCCUCCUAGCCCGGGCCCACUCUCCAGUGCGAUCGACAUGGCCCCCCUCACCUCACCUCCUCUCUCUCCUCACAUGCAAAGGAGGCCGCCUCCGCCUCCUCCUCUUGCUGCUUGCUGCUUCUUUCGCUUUCGCUCGCUUGCUCGCCUUCACACGCGCACGC
RNAcentral lists this small RNA (1213 nucleotides) under Oryza sativa Japonica Group (Japanese rice). Its description in RNAcentral is "sRNA Os02g0778666". The record is from RNAcentral. Lineage: Eukaryota; Viridiplantae; Streptophyta; Magnoliopsida; Poales; Poaceae.